CUAAUACAUGCAAGUCGAACGAACCGACGAAAGAGCUUGCUCUUUCUGACGUUAGUGGCGGACGGGUGAGUAACACGUGGGCAACCUGCCUGUAAGUUGGGGAUAACUCCGGGAAACCGGGGCUAAUACCGAAUAAUAACAAGCGUCGCAUGACGCCUGUUUGAAAGAUGGUUUCGGCUAUCACUUACAGAUGGGCCCGCGGUGCAUUAGCUAGUUGGUAGGGUAAUGGCCUACCAAGGCAACGAUGCAUAGCCGACCUGAGAGGGUGAUCGGCCACACUGGGACUGAGACACGGCCCAGACUCCUACGGGAGGCAGCAGUAGGGAAUCUUCCGCAAUGGACGAAAGUCUGACGGAGCAACGCCGCGUGUGUGAAGAAGGUUUUCGGAUCGUAAAGCACUGUUGUUAGAGAAGAACAAGGAUAAGAGUAACUGCUUGUCCCUUGACGGUAUCUAACCAGAAAGCCACGGCUAACUACGUGCCAGCAGCCGCGGUAAUACGUAGGUGGCAAGCGUUGUCCGGAUUUAUUGGGCGUAAAGCGAGCGCAGGCGGUUUCUUAAGUCUGAUGUGAAAGCCCCCGGCUUAACCGGGGAGGGUCAUUGGAAACUGAGAGACUUGAAUGCAGGAGAGGUAAGUGGAAUUCCACGUGUAGCGGUGAAAUGCGUAGAUAUGUGGAGGAACACCAGUGGCGAAGGCGGCUUACUGGCCUGUAAUUGACGCUGAGGCUCGAAAGCGUGGGGAGCAAACAGGAUUAGAUACCCUGGUAGUCCACGCCGUWAACGAUGAGUGCUAAGUGUUAGGGGGUUUCCGCCCCUUAGUGCUGCAGCUAACGCAUUAAGCACUCCGCCUGGGGAGUACGACCGCAAGGUUGAAACUCAAAGGAAUUGACGGGGGCCCGCACAAGUGGUGGAGCAUGUGGUUUAAUUCGAAGCAACGCGAAGAACCUUACCAGGUCUUGACAUCCUUUGACCAUUCUGGAGACAGAACUUUCCCUUCGGGGACAAAGUGACAGGUGGUGCAUGGUUGUCGUCAGCUCGUGUCGUGAGAUGUUGGGUUAAGUCCCGCAACGAGCGCAACCCUUGAUUUUAGUUGCCAGCAUUUAGUUGGGCACUCUAAAGUGACUGCCGGUGCAAGCCGGAGGAAGGUGGGGAUGACGUCAAAUCAUCAUG
RNAcentral lists this ribosomal RNA (1168 nucleotides) under Listeria cornellensis FSL F6-0969. RNAcentral describes it as "bacterial SSU rRNA". It matches the Rfam family "Bacterial small subunit ribosomal RNA", at positions 48 to 1197 of the family's 1533-position model. The record is from RNAcentral. Lineage: Bacteria; Bacillati; Bacillota; Bacilli; Caryophanales; Listeriaceae. RNAcentral also lists the same sequence under 1 other name.